AUUGAACGCUGGCGGCAUGCUUUACACAUGCAAGUCGAACGGCAGCACAGCAGAGGUAACUCUGUGGGUGGCGAGUGGCGAACGGGUGAGUAAUACAUCGGAACGUACCCUGUUGUGGGGGAUAACUACGCGAAAGCGUAGCUAAUACCGCAUACGCCCUGAGGGGGGAAAGCGGGGGACCCUAAAUAGAGCGCACUGGGGAGUGCGUUGUAUUUAGGGCCUCGCGCAAUAGGAGCGGCCGAUGUCGGAUUAGCUAGUUGGUGAGGUAAAGGCUUACUAAGGCGACGAUCCGUAGCUGGUCUGAGAGGAUGAUCAGCCACACUGGGACUGAGACACGGCCCAGACUCCUACGGGAGGCAGCAGUGGGGAAUUUUGGACAAUGGGGGCAACCCUGAUCCAGCCAUGCCGCGUGAGUGAAGAAGGC
RNAcentral lists this ribosomal RNA (424 nucleotides) under uncultured bacterium. RNAcentral's name for it is "bacterial SSU rRNA". It matches the Rfam family "Bacterial small subunit ribosomal RNA", at positions 29 to 415 of the family's 1533-position model. The record is from RNAcentral.